GGCGAUUACCGUGUGUUCUCAAAUGUCUCGUCUGUGUGUGUGUGUUGUGUACGGAUUCGAUGAGAUAAUGUCAUUUUGCUCCAAUAUCUGGCAUUGUUAGGUCUUAAAUAUUAGUUCUCGUUAUUUUCCAAAGACACAGAAGUCAAACUGAAAAGAGUCGUCUGAGAUGAAUAUCGUAAUACAGAUUUAUAGAAUCUACUAGCAACGUCAGGAGAAUAAAGAAAAACGCAACCUCACAGUUACCCUGACAUUUGAAGCCGCAUGGUACUGACUGUGGAACCCAGAGCAAGAUACGGGCUUUUGAGUUUCCGUUUCCUCAUCUGCGAAGUACAGGUGGUAACAGCCCACAGACACGGGCAAGGAGUCAAUGUGGGAACGGAGGUCACUCGUGUGAAACACCUGGCGCACACUCAACAAAACAAGGAGACAGAGGAGGA
This 437-nucleotide long non-coding RNA is filed under the name Equus caballus (horse). RNAcentral's name for it is "lncRNA (ENSECAG00000044712.1)". The record is from RNAcentral. Lineage: Eukaryota; Metazoa; Chordata; Mammalia; Perissodactyla; Equidae.